This 1275-nucleotide ribosomal RNA is filed under the name uncultured bacterium. Its description in RNAcentral is "bacterial SSU rRNA". It matches the Rfam family "Bacterial small subunit ribosomal RNA", at positions 1 to 1278 of the family's 1533-position model. The record is from RNAcentral.
UUAGAGUUUGAUCCUGGCUCAAGAGGACCGCUGGCGGCGUGCCUAACACAUGCAAGUCGAACGAAGCAAUUAAAAUGAAGUUUUCGGAUGGAUUUUUAAUUGACUGAGUGGCGGACGGGUGAGUAACGCGUGGAUAACCUGCCUCACACUGGGGGAUAACAGUUAGAAAUGACUGCUAAUACCGCAUAAGCGCACAGUACCGCAUGGUACGGUGUGAAAAACUCCGGUGGUGUGAGAUGGAUCCGCGUCUGAUUAGCCAGUUGGCGGGGUAACGGCCCACCAAAGCGACGAUCAGUAGCCGACCUGAGAGGGUGACCGGCCACAUUGGGACUGAGACACGGCCCAAACUCCUACGGGAGGCAGCAGUGGGGAAUAUUGCACAAUGGGCGAAAGCCUGAUGCAGCGACGCCGCGUGAGUGAAGAAGUAUUUCGGUAUGUAAAGCUCUAUCAGCAGGGAAGAAAAUGACGGUACCUGACUAAGAAGCCCCGGCUAACUACGUGCCAGCAGCCGCGGUAAUACGUAGGGGGCAAGCGUUAUCCGGAUUUACUGGGUGUAAAGGGAGCGUAGACGGCGAAGCAAGUCUGAAGUGAAAACCCAGGGCUCAACCCUGGGACUGCUUUGGAAACUGUUUUGCUAGAGUGUCGGAGAGGUAAGUGGAAUUCCUAGUGUAGCGGUGAAAUGCGUAGAUAUUAGGAGGAACACCAGUGGCGAAGGCGGCUUACUGGACGAUAACUGACGUUGAGGCUCGAAAGCGUGGGGAGCAAACAGGAUUCGAUNCCCUGGUAGUCCCCGCCGUAANCGACCAAUAUGAGGUGUUGGGGGGGCAAAGCCCUUCGGUGCCGUGCCAAACGCAGUAAGCAUUCCACCUGGGAAGGACGUUCGCAGGAAUGAAACUCAAAAGGAAAUGACGGGGGACCCGCACAAGCGGUGGAGCAUGUGGUUUAAUUGGAAGCAACGCGAAGAACCUUACCAAGUCUUGACAUCCUCUUGACCGGUGUGUAACGGCGCCUUCCCUUCGGGGCAAGAGAGACAGGUGGUGCAUGGUUGUCGUCAGCUCGUGUCGUGAGAUGUUGGGUUAAGUCCCGCAACGAGCGCAACCCUUAUCCUUAGUAGCCAGCAGGUAAAGCUGGGCACUCUAGGGAGACUGCCAGGGAUAACCUGGAGGAAGGUGGGGAUGACGUCAAAUCAUCAUGCCCCUUAUGAUUUGGGCUACACACGUGCUACAAUGGCGUAAACAAAGGGAAGCAAGACAGUGAUGUGGAGCAAAUCCCAAA